ACUCAAGAUGCCAAUGUAGCAGAGAUGACGCUCUACAGCUCCAGCUGAUAGACACACUUCCUCAUCCGACUGCAGAAAACACUCUUUACAGUACAGUGUUCAUGUAUUACUGCAAUGCUGCCAAUUGAGAUGUUAUGGAGCAACCUGAAAAUACAUUUGGUUAGUGCUGUUGCAAUUCAUUAUAUUUACAUACAAAACAUUUAAAAAGUGCAAAAUUGUACCUUCAAAGGUGAUACUGAGGUGGCCCAAAUGCAAUUUUUGCACAUUUUAUUCUGCGUAAUAUGAGCACUGUAAUGUAAAGUGUUACCCUAUGUUAAGAUUUUUACAUGAAUGACAGGUUCCAUUAGUCAAGACUGAUGAUUAUCACCAUGACUAAUGGUCCUUUCCCCCCCAAAAUUACUUUCAUGAACGGACAUUUACGCUCAGCCAUCACUGUCUAAUUGAAGUUCAAACAGAACAGCAUGGAAGGAAACACAAACAGCAGCUGACAGCGUGUUGCGAUUGACUGACAUGAUUAUUGCUGUUAUUAAGUGCUUGUUUUACAACUGCCUCACAUCAACACGUGUUUUAGGAAGUAGUAACUUGAAAACGGGUAAUUUUGCAAUCAUAAUUCAUACACCAGCACAACAAAACAGAGUUGCAAUGCAGUUUGUUUAAGGAUGCAGGAAAGAAACGUAAAAUGUAAAAGAUACCAAAGGACUACAAUUAUGAAUAUUAAGGGACUUUCUACUUUUCUAUAUCCCAGCCAGACGCAAAUACCUUCAUCAGUUCAUUUUCUAAGGAAGUUUGUUUCCACCAUGAGAUUAAAAAAUAAAAAAGGUAAUUGCAAAUUUUUCUUCUCACAAUUCUACCUUUUUUCUCUUAAUUGAGAGAGAAAUUUGCAAUUGUGAGGAAAAAAGUAAAAAUUCAAGAGUUCAUAUCGCGUAAUUCUGCCUUCUCAGAAUUGAGAGGGAAAAAGUCUGAAUUGUGAGAUAACCUUAAAAAGUGGAGAAAAAAAAAAAUAAUUGCAGGAUGUAAACUCAGAAUUCAGAGAAAAAAAGUCAGAAUUGUGAGAUAUAAAUCACAUUGUGAAAUGAAAAACUUGCAAUUACCUUUUAGAUAUAAACUCAGAAUUCUGACUUUUUCCUCGCAAUUCUGAGAUUUUGUUUAUCCCACGACAGAAAUAAGCUUCCUCAAUUUUCAGCUCAGCUCACCCAUCAUGCAUUUAUAACCACAAUCAAUAUAAUAAGGCCUCACAAAGUGUUUAUUUUACUGUCUUUCUGAAAGGUAUCGGCCAGAAGAAUUCUUGAUUGUGUUUCAAAAUUAGAUUUGCUUUUAUUGUUUGUUUGCAUGUUAUUUUAUUUUUAUACUACAGUAUAUCUGAGUGAUUUCCUGUAUUUGAAUUUUACACUAGACUCAGUGUAUAAGUCUGUAGACAUUAUCUUUUGUAUCAGGAGUGUUAACUGUACAAAUCAAAUAAAAAUGUAAAAAAAAAAAAAAAAAA
Onychostoma macrolepis is the source of this 1483-nucleotide long non-coding RNA. RefSeq lists it as uncharacterized. The record is from RefSeq and is a predicted model, not a curated record. Lineage: Eukaryota; Metazoa; Chordata; Actinopteri; Cypriniformes; Cyprinidae. The transcript has 2 exons.